Molecule: ribosomal RNA, 442 nt
Filed under: uncultured bacterium
Lineage: Bacteria
Description: partial 16S ribosomal RNA
Rfam family: Bacterial small subunit ribosomal RNA
Source: RNAcentral
CCUACGGGUGGCAGCAGUGGGGAAUAUUGGGCAAUGGGCGAAAGCCUGACCCAGCCACGCCGCGUGAAGGAAGAAGGCUCUCGGGUUGUAAACUUCUUUUGACAAGGAAGCGCAGAAGACGGUACCUGUCGAAUCAGCCACGGCUAACUACGUGCCAGUAGCCGGCGUAAUAGGUAGGUGGCAAGCGUUGUCCGGAUUUACUGGGGUUAAAGGGCGUGUAGCCGGGCAGACAAGUCAGAUGUGAAAUCCGGGGGCCCAACCCUCGAACUGCAGUUGAAACUGUUGGUCUUGAGUAUAGGAGAGGCAUGCGGAAUUCCUGGUGUAGCGGUGAAAUGCGUAGAUAUUAGGAGGAACACCAGUGGCGAAGGCGGCCUGCUGGACGACAACUGACGGUGAGGCGCGAAAGCGUGGGGAGCAAACAGGAUUAGAUACCCCUGUAGUC